RNAcentral lists this long non-coding RNA (1545 nucleotides) under Drosophila guanche. Lineage: Eukaryota; Metazoa; Arthropoda; Insecta; Diptera; Drosophilidae. The record is from RNAcentral.
AUUUGAUUCUCUACAAUAUUGACUUUUUUCAUGACUAAGCUUUAUUGCAUUGAUUGCAAAAAAAAGGUUAAAACUAAAACGUAAACCAAAUCAAAUUACAUUAAAAGUUUCGUGGAUUCUUCUAACAUGUAACUCAUAGUUUCAGCGCCAGUUACAGCGAGACGAGUGCAUACUGCUGCAGUAAUGAUUUGGCCAAUUAUCGUGAAUCGGUUAAUCGAUUUGUGGAAGAGGGGACCACAACAUAACAAACAAUUUUGUGUGUUGGUUUUUUUAAAACACGCAUUCUUCAGUGAAAUGUGUACUGUAAACCUUCGAGGAUGCGUCUGCAUGAUGGCGGAGUAUGUGGAUUGCAUUACGCAACAAUGCGGUAAGUACCUAAUAAACAGCAUAAUACAUUUUCAGCCCUCCAUGCGGGCUGUCCCAUUGAUUUGAUGAUCAUUUUGACAUUAUGAAUUUUUACUGUUUUUAGCACUCCAAUCAGGUGGUGCAAGCCGAUGUCCGACUUAUCGAGCGUCUGCGUCACGAUGAGACCGCUGGCGGGUCUGCUACUUGGUUGAGUUAAAUGGCACGCAAAUGAGGGGCCACGCAGAACGACAGAAGCGUCAAAUGAACUGUUUGGCAGCGUGUUGAGGUCGCUAACAGAUGAACGAUUCGCUUCAAGGAUCCACAUGGGCAAGAGAUCCCAGAUUUUGGAAUCUAUGCCAUGAUCGAAUAGACAGCCAAAACAAUGUCGAGUAGUACUGCUUCAAUGUGCUUUUUGAAGUUUUCGAGAAGGAGAGCGGCAUUUAUUACAGGGAAUGUGGGUAUACAAGCGGGAAGAAUUCAUAUAAUUCAUGGGUAAUUAAGUGUGUCUUUCUUACUUUAUGCAUAGACUGCCAGCAAUGUGAAGAAAGAUCGCAACCUGCAUCCCCUUGACACCAAUGUCUAAGGCACCAGAUUUUUCUGAACAAGUUACACGAGGAUGCGCAAAGCAAGUCGCCGUAUGGGCUCGAGAUCCUACGCUGGGCCACGAUUGGGCUGACUUCAACUUUGCCUGCUCCCAAAUUAAAGCAGAUAUUGAGCCGGGCCCUUGUGUGAAUAUGUGAGCUCUAAUGGAUGGCUUGCUUGUAUUCGUACCGGUGCGCUCAUCUAGCGAUGCUCUUAAAAGGUAAGGUGUAUAUUUAAACUUCCAACAACGCUCAUUUUACCCGUACACGUUUUUUGUUUUUCAGAUAAUCGAAACCUUUUCGACAUUAUGGAGCUGAUGUACGCGUCUGCUACAGCACAGUUCCACAAUCGGAAUCAUAUCACAAAAAUGAGCUAACCAUGUGGUAGUCCAGCUGGAGCUCGAAGACCGAGGAUGGCUGACGGGUCGUUCUUCCGGGAAAACAUGGCAUUACCUUGUACUACCUGAGCGAUUCCUUGAAUAGGAUUACAUCUUAUCCAUCGAAAUAACCGACAUCCAAUCUCAAAUUGAGGCCGAGUCGGAUUGAAACGUAGGAAGAUUAGUGUUCCAGCGUUGUAUACCAAUAAAAUUGCAGCAUGCUUUUGCUGCUUUUAAAUAUA